AUUGAACGCUGGCGGCAGGCCUAACACAUGCAAGUCGAACGAGUGGCGGACGGGUGAGUAAUGUGUGGGAAACUGCCUGAUGGAGGGGGAUAACUAAUGGAAAAGGUCACUAAUAACGCCUACCAUCGGAUGUGCCCAGAUGGGAUGAGCUAGUAGGUGGGGUAAAGGCUCAUCUAGGCGACGAUCCCUAGCUGGUCUGAGAGGAUGAACAGCAACACUGGAACGGAGACACGGUCCAGACUCCUACGGGAGGCAGCAGUGGGGAAUAUUGCACAAUGGGCGCAAGCCUGAUGCAGCCAUGCCGCGUGUAUGAAGAAGGCCUUCGGGUUGUAAAGUACUUUCAGCGGGGAGGCGUUACCCGCAGAAGAAGCACCGGCUAACUCCGUGCCAGCAGCCGCGGUAAUAC
This 406-nucleotide ribosomal RNA is filed under the name uncultured bacterium. RNAcentral describes it as "partial 16S ribosomal RNA". It matches the Rfam family "Bacterial small subunit ribosomal RNA", at positions 30 to 526 of the family's 1533-position model. The record is from RNAcentral.